Molecule: long non-coding RNA, 292 nt
Organism: Hirundo rustica (Barn swallow)
Lineage: Eukaryota; Metazoa; Chordata; Aves; Passeriformes; Hirundinidae
Exons: 3
Source: RefSeq, a predicted model, not a curated record
GAAGAGGGAUAAUAUUCCUCCACUGACAGAGGUGAGAGCUGGAAGAACUCCUAAGACUUUUCCAGACCUUUGGAGCUUUCUUCAAAACAAGAGCUGGAGAAAGCUCAGAUGUUUGGGUACAGUAGGCCCAUUCCGACACAACAAGCCUACGCUCAAGCUGUGAUCCCAACAGAGAAGAAAGCGUUUCAGGUCUGAGCUGCUCUCAUCCAGUGAGCUACUGCCAUAUCAGCUCUGCUCCAAGGAAGUGGAAGUACUUGCUUUUAUUUAUUUUUAUCCUGUGGCAUCAAAACGU